UACGGAGGGAGCUAGCGUUGUUCGGAAUUACUGGGCGUAAAGCGCGCGUAGGCGGCUUUGUAAGUUAGAGGUGAAAGCCUGGAGCUCAACUUCAGAAUUGCCUUUAAGACUGCAUCGCUUGAAUCCGGGAGAGGUGAGUGGAAUUCCGAGUGUAGAGGUGAAAUUCGUAGAUAUUCGGAAGAACACCAGUGGCGAAGGCGGCUCACUGGUCCGGUACUGACGCUGAUGUGCGAAAGCGUGGGGAGCAAACAGG
Molecule: ribosomal RNA, 253 nt
Filed under: uncultured bacterium
Lineage: Bacteria
Description: partial 16S ribosomal RNA
Rfam family: Bacterial small subunit ribosomal RNA
Source: RNAcentral